UAAAUUUUCAGAGUAUUUCUAAUUUAACCUAUCCGAUUUGUGACUUUUUAAAACUUGUAAAGCUUACUCGUUAGAAGAAAUAAGAACAAGUUUUUGAAAAGAGGAAGAAGAAGAAAGAAAAAAGAAAAAAAAAGAAUAAAUAUAACUGCGACUGAAACUGGACUUGCUUAUUUUAGUUGAUAUGAGCUGAGUAAAAUCAUGUUGUUUCAGACCUUGCUCGUUAUAAUCGGCGAAUGGUCUCAUGUCCCGACACCUGCUUUCGAUCUGCGGGUACUAUAUUUUCUCCGUGUAACGAACGCGGUGUUCCUAUUGGCGAGUGCUUCGCACGUAACGACGUCUGAGCCUAGCUAGCGACAGUCUCCGAUUUUGCUGUCUCCACGGUAAAUAUUACAGUAUGUAUCUACAAACAUUUUUCACCUACGAACAAUUAAAAAAAAAAAAAAUUGACAAAAAGGCUAUAUCAAGCUAUUUAGUUUUGUAUCUUGCAUUCUUACGGAUUUUGAAAUCUGUUCUUGUUUUUAGGCCUUUAAAUUCUUAACCAACGUAUAUCGAAUUGUCGAUCUUAUUUGUUGCAAAGUGGUGGAAUUUGUAUUUACUCGAAUGAUCUUCUCUUAUAUAAGAGUUACAGUAUGAGGCUACUUAAUUAAGGAGUAAGUGAAGAUUAUAUAUAUAUAUAUAUAUAGAUAGAUAGGGGAUGCACCUUUGGAAGUAACCAGUUAGUCAAGAUUACUAAUUAUCAUAUCGUUAAAUUUAUUCCACAAAUCCACUGCAUGGAUAACAUCAUACGUACCCUAUCAUGCGAUAAUAUAGUUUUCAGUUACAAAAACUCUCCUCUAUUUAUUUCAGUUGUUCCUUUUGAUGAUUAUAUUAAUAUCUCAUGCAGUUUAAUUAACGUCUCUAGACUUUAAUCCCGAGUACAACAUAAGAUAAUGAUCUUGCAUAUAUAUAAGACGACCCACUAUAUUGACAAACUGAACAUCUAUAUAUAUACUGUAUGCAGAAGUUAAUAACAAAAAAAUACAUUGCAAUAAGGGCUAUGGAAUACUUGUACCAGGUCAAUUAAGACUGAGAACAUAAAGAAUAUAUAUAUAUUUUUUUUGAUAAAAACAUGCUUUAGAUUGGUAUAGACAAAAAAAAAAAAUUAGUAUAGUAUAGGGGGGGGGGUAAAAAGUGAAAAGUAAAAAAGGAUACGUUAUCCUCAUAUAGUACCUGGAAAUAACAGAAAAUAAAAACACAGGUAAGUACUUUGCCUGCCUGAGUAUAUAUCAACAAUAAAGAGAUACACACACAGACACACAAAAAGAGAGCGCAGAAACAAAACACACAGACUUAAAGCUUUUCUCCUUUACCUCUUCAUCCCUCUCUCUCUCCUUUAAAAAAGAGUUCUGAGAACAAGAAGCUCAGUGAUCAUCAUCAUCAUCAUCAUCACCAAUGGCGACUUCUCUCUUUUUCAUGCCAACAGAUCAAAACUCCGUCGGAAACCCAAACGAGCUUCUGAGGAACACCCACCUUGGUGUCAACAGCUCCGGCGAGAUCCGGACAGAGCCGCAGAAGAGCCGUGGUCGGAAACCGGGAUCAAAGAAAGGUCAGCAAAACCAGAAGAAACCGACCUUGAGAGGAAUGGGUGUAGCAAAGCUCGAGCGGGAGCGUCUCAAAACCGAAGCAGCAGAGAACAAACAAAUCGCCGCCACACUCGGAGACACGUCAGUAGCACCGCCGAACCCUAACAGCGCUACCCGUUUGUUACCCGUACCCGUGGACCCGGUUCUUGUCCUGCAAGGCUUCCCAAGCUCAGUCGGAGGAGGAUGCAGAAGCAACAGGAUCUAUUGCGGUGGAGUCGGGUCGGGUCAGAUUAUGAUCGACCCGGUUUGCUCUCCUUGGGGUUUUGUUGAGACGACCUCUACUCAUGAGCUCUCUUCAAUCCCAAAUCCUCAAAUGUAUAACGCUUCCUCUAAUACUCGCUGUGACACUUGCUUCAAGGUUUGAUUUUUAUUUUUCUUUUUUUCCUCUCAAACUGUGUUUCCAAUAUGUUAAAUAUAAUUUUUUGGCAAUUUCAUUAAAAAGUUUUGAUUUUUAUUAUGCAAACCGCAGAAGAAACGUUUGGAUGAAGAUCAGAGCAAUGUAGUUCGAUCCAACGGUGGUGGGUUUUCGAAAUACACAAUGAUUCAACCUCCGAUGAACGGCUACGAGCAUCUUUUUCAACAAGAUUAUCAGAGGAGCAGCCAAGGUUUCAUUUAUGAUCAUCAUAGAAUGACUAGAUCAGCUCCACCUUCUGCUGCUGCUGCUACUAGUUCUAAUCCGUAUCUUAAUGAGGCGACAAAUCAUACGGUAUAGUUUAUACACAUAUAAGUAUAGAUAUUCGUACUUUGGUUUGGUGUGUAUUGAUUUAAUGGUGGGUUUAGGUAUCGAUGGAGGAAUUUGGGAGUGGCUACAUGGAAGGAAACCCUAGAAAUGGAUCAGGAGGUGUGAAGGAGUACGAGUUCUUUCCGGGGAAAUACGAUGAUUUUCCAGGAAAAUAUGGUAAAACAGUCUCAUCAAAGGCUACAUCGGUCGUCGUAGGUGAUUGCAGUCGUACUAAUACAUCAUCGUCAUCAUCCACCAUCGAUUUGUCUUUGAAGCUUUAAAUGAUUUAAGAAAAUUUUGAAACAUCAUAUCGUCUCAGAGAUUUUUCAGCUCUCUCUUCUCUCAGCUCUUUCUAUAUUAAUUUAAACAAAUCGUCGUUUUUGUUUUUUUGGUUUUACAUAUUAAGUAGAAAAAAGUACGAAACAGAAGAAAAAAAAAAAGAGAUCCUUUUUUGGUGUAUGCAUCUGAGAGCUGAGUCGAAAGAAAGGUUCAGCUUUUGGAUUUUACCCUUUUGGUUGUUUAUUAUGGGAUUCUAAACCUAAACACUCAGACAUAUGUUCUGUUCUCUUCCUUAACAUAUUGUGUCAUGAAACUUUUUCUCUCUCUCUAUCUCUCUAAAGCUGUGUCAGAUCUUGGGGAUUGUAUCCAUUAUGUGUUUCUUCUAUCUAGUUAGGCAAUGAUCCUGUCAUGAUUCAUGUUAUCACCUAAUAUAAUCCUCGGUUUACGAGACGGUGUCAUCUCAUUUAGUUUUUGAUGUGAGAGAAACUUAUCAAAUUGCUCUUUGAUUCUAUUUUUUUUCCAACGACAUGGCAUAAAAUACAGGGUGGGUAUAUACAGCUUGAAGUUUUGGUUUAUGAAGUAUAUAUGUGUACUAGUUUUGAUAUUAUAUAAUAAAGGUUUUGUUUUGGUUCAAAUUUAAUACUAAUUAUAUGUACGCAGUCAGUUAUACACACUCCCAGUAUUAACUUAGAAAAAAAUGUCUUAAGGUGCAAAUUUUUAGUUAAUCAGCUUUUAUAUAAGCGGUUUUACUGGAGUAUAAGUACUUAGUAGUUAAACUGCUUUUGCUCUUCAAAACAGCUAUUUCGGUGAACAUGUUAGUAGUGAUCUCUCAGUCUCAUACAUAUGUAGAAAUAAAAACUGUCGAUCAUAAAUAUAUAAUGCAGCUAAAUAUGAACCAUACGUUACAAAUCUGUGUCUUCCUGUGAGAAUUGGUUGACAUAUAUUGAUAUAUAGUCCCUUAGAAAAAACACACACAAUAGAUAAACAACUUGAUGAUCAGCAUCAAACAGCAAUCAAUCUUAUGUUUGACAUUAGGACUGAAUUGAUAUUGUCAAAUGCAAACGCUAUAUUUUAAAACUAAAAAUAUGACAAAUGGGCCAAUAAUACAAAAAACACAGCCCAUUAGGAAAAAAAAAACUGAUAAGAUAAAACAGGUUCCUUGUGAGUAGAGAGAGAGAGAGAGGAGCUGUGCUUAGCACGUUCUCAACCUCUUGAAAAUUAUUCAAUAUACUACAAAACAUCCAUUAUCCAAUACAAUUAGCAUUAAUUUAACAAAAUUAAUUUAGAUUAUAAAAACAAUCUACAGACACGGCUCUCUUCUUCAUCUUCCUCAUCAUCAUUUUAAUAAAAGUUUCUAUAAUUUGUUGAAUCAAAGAAGAAGAAGAAGAAGAAGAGAUCAUGAAUUCAGAUUCCGAUUACCCUCAUCUCCCUAAUAUCAAGAUCCACCAUCCUUCAUCUCCUCGUCACUCUCACCACCACUCUUCCUCAACUCCUUCCGCCGCUACUCCUACCCCAACCGCCGGUGCUCGCCGUAAGAUCGGAGUCGCCGUUGACCUCUCUGAAGAAAGCGCCUUCGCUGUUCGCUGGGCCGUUGACCAUUACAUUCGUCCCGGCGACGCCGUCGUCAUCCUCCACGUCUCUCCAACCUCCGUUCUCUUCGGCGCCGAUUGGGGUCCUCUCCCUGUCCAAACCCCUCCUCCUUCCGCCGCCGUCGAUCCCGCAGCUCAGCCGAAGCCUAGUCAGGAAGAUUUCGACGCUUUCACGUCUUCCAAAGUAGCGGAUCUAGCGAAGCCAUUGAAGGAAGCUGGGUUCCCUCAUAAGAUCCAUAUAGUGAAAGACCACGAUAUGAGGGAGAGGCUUUGUUUAGAGACUGAACGGCUUAACCUCAGCGCCGUGAUUAUGGGAAGCAGAGGCUUUGGUGCUGAGAAGAGGGGAAGUGAUGGCAAGCUUGGCUCCGUUAGUGACUAUUGUGUUCACCAUUGUGUUUGUCCUGUUGUUGUGGUUAGAUACCCUGAUGAUCGUGAUGGUCCUGCUCCUCCUGGGAAUGUUGGAGGUACCAGGGAAGCUAUUGUGACUGUUAAAUCACGUAGGGAUGAUGACGAUGAUGAUGAAGAUGACGAGGCUAAGAUUGCUGCUUCUGCUUCUGUUUCUGCUCAUCCUGAACACAUCAAAGGUCAGGAUCAAUCCUUUCUUUCUCUCUCACAUUGUUGACUUGCAUAAGUCUAGUUAUAGUUUACGGAAUCGUUCUGAAUAUGUUAGCGUAGUGUUUUAGAGAUAUAUCCAUAGGUGGGAACUUGAAAACUUAGAUUUUUCCAUGGCUUCGUUUUUAGAAAUUAGGACUAGUGUGAUGUUUGAUUCUACUAUUGAUUGCUCUUGUGGAUGUUCUACUCUGUUUCAGCUUGUCAUUACCUAACUUUCUGCGUUAGUAAAUGAAAAGUAGCAAUGAUAUUUUAUUCUGUGAUUCGUUUCUCUUCUCAAGAUUCCAUUUUCUCGUCACCUGCUGGUAUUUUUCCUCAGUUGCUUUGUUGAGUGUAUGCUAUUUUCGUAGCCUUUUUGAUUAUUAUCUAGAAAUUUAGGGAGAUUUCCACUACAAGUGAUGCAAAUGAGCUUCUACAAUAUAUCUUCAAUUCAUGGUUUUCCUACACUGCUUUUGCUCCUUUUUGCUAACACUGGUUGCUUUAAUUCGAUUAAUUAAUUAUUGAUACCAAGAAGAUAAUUGCUUUUGGCCCAUCAAGAAAGUUUUUCUUUGUUUGGGUGUUUUUUUGACUGUUUUCUAUCUGCUCCCUAGUUUGGAGUAAUAGUAAGCCAAGUAUUACAAUUCUUGACUUAAGGGAAAAAAAAUGAAUCUCCUUAGAUCACCAGUUUGACUCCAGUAAAUUAGUGAAAACCAUGCAGUUGGUGGAAUGUUGUAAACUCUGUUACCUGUAAUAUGAAAUGUGUGAAUCAGUAUCUUCUUACUUUUCAUUGCUGAAAUGAAAGACGUCAUGAAACCUUGUCCAGGGAAUAAACAAAGUAGAGUGAUAUUAGAAAUCAAAAUCACUUCUCUUUGCUCAAUCUAGUUAGUCUUUUGGGAAGACAGUCUUUUCACUGCUUAUACACAUUUAGACAAAUAGCUAUGGGAUUGUUAGAAGCCUAGGUUUGCAAAAGAAAAUGUAGUUGGUCUUUGCUUGAUUGAUUCAAUGAUUCCACUUGUGUACCCUUGUGAAUUUGGUUUGAACUCUUAGAAGGAAAAAAUUGACAUGAAGCCAAUUAAACUAAUUGAAUAGUUACAAGUUUUCUGGACAUGAUUUGGUUAUCCAAAGAGAAUAACAAAAAUUGAGGCUCUUCCUUUUACAGAUGAGUAAUACGCUUUAGGAUCUCAUAGGAUUCACCAUCUUCACAGCCAGGUAAAAUAUAAACAACCUUUUUCAACUGUGCUCUGAAGAGUGGUUGUCUCUAUCAAUCCUUCUUUCGGGUUGAAUCUGAUUCUUAUGAAAUUCGUAGGUACGACGACGAUGGAUGAAACAAAGGGUGGUUAAAGCGGAUUUGUGGAGAGGACUGUUUGUGUGUGUUUGUGAUAUCUUUGGCAGUUUCUGGAAUCUCCCUCCUCUGUGGAUUAUUUAUUCUCUCAGUCCUUUAUAAGAUUGAUCCGUGUAUGAUUUUCACAUUUAAAACAAUGAAGAAGUAAAAAACAUUUUUCUUUUGUGAUUAUGAUCUUUAAUUAUCUUCAGUCUAAUUUGAUAUCCGAUUACUAAAACAUCCAAUCGUAUUCGCUAAUUUAACAUUGUGACCAGAAAAAUAUUCCAACCAAGAGCACUUCAUUAAAUUAUAAGAAUACAAAAAAUCAUUGCUCUUUACAAAAACGCAGUCAAAACAAGAAUAUAGAAUCUUAAAAGGAAUAUAAGAAAGUUUUUGUUCACAAAAAAAAAAAAAGUCUAGGGUUCCGCUAUAUAUCCUUCUUUUUCUGUCCCCCUCUCAUACAACAGGGGAGAACACUGCCGCUAUGGAGAAGAUAAGGAGAAAAAGUCCAAAAUUUGUAAUAUUCCUUUUCUUGUUUUUUUUCUAAUGAGCUUUUGUUUUCUCUAAGAUUGAUUUGGCUUUAUCAUAAUUUUUUUGGUAGGACAAUGACGAAGGUGACGAGGAAAUGGUCUUGGGAAGUGUAAGUGUAUCUGUCUCAUGGAAAAAUUUAACCAUAUUGAUAGGAAUUCGUAGGUACGACGACGAUGGAUGAAACAAAGGGUGGUUAUAGCGGAUUUGUGGAGAGGACUGUUUGUGUGUGUUUGUAGUAUCUUUGGCAGUCUCUGGAAUCUCCCUCCUCUGCGGAUUAUUUAUUCUCUUAGUCUUUUAUAAGAUUGAUCUUUGUAUGAUUUUCACAUUUAAAACAAUGAAGGAGUCUGAAUCAAACACUAAAAAAAAACAUUUUUCUUUUGUGAUUAUGAUCUUUAAUUAUCUUCAGUCUAAUUUGAUAUCCGAUUACUAAAACAUCUAGUCGUAUUUGCUAAUUUAACAUUGUGACCAGAAAAAUAUUCCAACCAAGAGCACUUCAUUAAAUAAUAAGAAUACAAAAAAUCAUUGCUCUUUACAAAAACGCAGCCGAAACCAGAAUAUAAAAUAUUAAAAGGAAUAUAAGAAAGGUCUCGUUCACAAAAAAAAAAGGUCUAGGGUUCCGCUUUAUAUCCUUCUUUUCUGUCUCCCUCUCUUACAACGGGGAAGAACAACCGACCGACUAAUAGGAGAAAAAGUCCAAAAUUUGUAAUAUUUUUUUUUUUUUUCAAAAUUUGUAGAUUGAUUUGGCUUUAUCAUAAUUUUGUAGGAAAAUGACGAAGAUGACGAGGAAAUUGUCUAGGGUUCCGUUCUCUUUAUAUCCUUCAUUUCUGUCUCCCUCUCUUACUGUGGAGAAAAAACGGAGAAAAAGUCCAAAAUUUGUAAUAUUAUUUUCUUGUUUUUUUUAUAUUUGUUGUUCUUAAGAAAUUUUGUUCCUCUCUCGCUCUAAAUGGUUUACACUUGGCUUUGUCUCGGAUAUUUUCAGUAAACUGGGGAUAUUGUCGAUGACAAGCCUUCCUUGAAAAAAAAAAAGAAGAUGCACAAGGUUUGACCUUGUUCUUGUUUGUAUAUGUAGAUCCAGAUUCACUUCACUUUUCUAGUUUUAUGUAGCUUGUUUUGUUCUCAUGAGCUUUUGUUUUCUCUAAGAUUGAUUUGGCUUUAUCAUAAUUUUUUGUUUUUUUUGUAGGAAAAUGACGAAGAUGACGAGGAAAUUAUCUAGGGUUCCGUCCGCUUUAUAUUUUUCUUUUCUAUCCCCCUCUCUUACUAUAGAGAAGAAAUGGAGAAAAAGUCCAAAAUUUGUAAUAUUAUUUUUCUUGUGUUUUUUAUCUUUGUUUUUUUGAGACAUUUUGUUAUUCUCUGUCUCUUUAAAUAGUUUACACUUGGUUUUGUCUCUGAUAUUUUCAAGAAAUUGGGGAUAUUGUCGAUGACAAGCCUUCCUUGAAAAAAAAAAAGAUGCACAAGGUUUGACCUUGUUCUUGUUUGUGUAUGCAGAUUCAGAUUCACUUCACUUUUCUAGUUUUAUGCAGAUUUCAUGAGUUUUUUUUUUUCUCUAAGAUUGAUUUGGAUUUGAAAAAGUGAAAAAAAAUUGAAAAAUCCAUAUAUAAUAAAACAUAUUAUUUCAAAAUCUAACUUCUUUUCAAAAUCAUUUGAUACAGUUCUAAUGAAUGGUUCAAAAGACAAAGGUUUUUUUUGUUGACAAAGUUUGCAACUACUUGUUUCAGUUUUGAGUUAUAUUUGGAAUUUAGGAUGGCCGUGUGGAUGUAAAUUAUCGUUGUUAUAUACGGUUGAAGGAAAAUGUUGGGUUUUACUUAAUUAUAGUGUAGUUUAAAAUAUAAUAGAAUCCGUUAGGUUCUGGUUUUUGACUUUCAGAACUACCUACGGACUAGAUGUUUGGAGUGAAUUUGACGGUAGUCAUGCUUUUGAUUGUGAAAGCCACCGAAUGAUUUUGUUUUAUUUGGUUGGAAUUUGUAGAAAUUUGAAACACAAUAAUCAAAUAUAGACGAAGGUAAAUUUAAUUAAAAUUGCAUUAAAACAAUAUAUCAGUAUUAGUUCGCAAUUGAUUUUUUACCGGCUCAUAUUGUCGCAUUUCUUCGGAAGGAAAAGAUUGAGAAAUGAGAACCACCAUACAUCUUUCAUAUAAAAUAAAUAAAUCAAACGGUCCAACCCCACACGACACAGUACACACACUACUCUCUCAUUAACCAUAGAAAUUUAAAAAUGGCUUAUAAAAAUGUAAAAAACGUUUUUCUUAAAGAAAAUCUGAAUAUAUAUUCAUGUAAAGUAUAUAAACAAAGCACAAAUAAAAUAAACAAAUAGGAAAAUAGUAAAGUAUUAAAUGAAAAGAAAAAAAAAAAUAGAAAGUGGUAUUGGUGGUGGUGGUAUACGAAAGAUGUGAAUGAUCGAUGAGGAUCAUAUCAUGUGAACCAAGAGAAGAGGAACAUGCUGAGAGAUAAGGUUACUACCAAAUAAAAACACAGUUCGCAGGGAUAUGACAGGUUCAUUGUUCUUGGCUAAUCAAUGAACCUUUCAGGACCCCCUUUUUUUAUUUUUAUAUAUACCAUUUUCUCUCUAGUCCCCACAAAUUUUUUAGUUUUCUUCGAGUGGUCGAUACUAUCAUUGUGCCCAUCUGCCACCAAUCUCUCCCAUAAUUCAUUUGAUCCAUAGCAUCGUCUUAUAUAACAAAGGGGCCAUAAUAAUAAACAUGUAAUCAAAACUAUGGUAUAUAUGACGAAUCCAAAAUUAUCUACUUAAAAGCUUAAAAGAAAAAAUAAUAAUAAUCAACAUAAUAAUAGAGAGGUCAGAUACAAAAGUUGUUUUAAAAAAAUUUGAGUUUGUACGACAUAAGCUGAUCAAAAGAAAGAACUACUACCUCAACACUGAAACAUAAGUAUUGUCAGAAAAUGAACGGUUAUGAUUUACUUAAAAAGAGGAAAAGAAGGGGAAUCAACGGCUGAGAUCUCUCCUGGUUUUACCGGUGGCAAAGAUGAAAGAAGAAGACGAUGAAGCAGAUGUAUCAACGGCGCUCUUCAAUGAUCUGACGAUCGAGUUAACCACCGGUUCAUCCCUUGACGAUCGCUUCAACGGCCGUGAAUAAAUUGAUUCUUGUCCUGAACUGCUUCCGAUCUCAUCCUGCAUUUGAUAAUUGAAAAUACAAAAUUAAAACCACCGGAGGAGACAAAUCCAAAUUAGAGUUUGACAAAAAAGAUGAAUGAGAAAAAGUUAGAUCCGUACAUCGGAGCAGAGAAGAUCUGAAUUCUCCAUCGUCCUCGUCCUCUUCGUCACGAAACCUCCGUCAGAAGAUGAUGACGAACUCAUGACCGGAGGAGGUUGCGCCGCCGCAGCAGCAGACCAAGGGACAACUUGAUUCUCAGCUUCCUCAUCAUCGUCAACGUCACCCUCAUCAUCAUCACUGUACUCUUCAUCAUCAUCUUCCUCAUCCUCACCAUCAUCGUAAGAUUCAGCGCCAUCUUCUCUAAUCCGAUCCUCUUGGGAAUCGAAACUAUCAACCUCCUCCGGCGAGAUCACGCUCCGUCCAGCGCCGGGUGCGUUUUUGAGAGCGACGCAGGAAUCGCAGACGGAGAAGGUAGGACCGAGACGGAGGCCCGUAGCUUUCCAGGGCGUGAGAGACUGGCAAGCGCUGCAGAGAAGACAGCGAGUGUGCUUAGCAACCAAGAAAUUAGCGCCGUGAACUUUACCGUCGCAGUCCCAGCAUAGACUAGCUUGAUCUGACUCGCAAUACAUUCUUGCUACACCGCUACAUAAAUCACACUUCUUCCCCAUAUCAAAACUCUCUAUCAAGAUUCUUUCGUGUUAAGCUCCUUCGUUCUCUAUCCUUUGCUUUGGUGUCUUGAAGGAAUAAGAAGAAGAAGAAGAAGAAGAAGAAGAAGAGGAAAGCGCAAGUUGCAGAGAGGAGGAGGAAUUGGGAUAUUUUGUUCGGGGGCGAGAAUUCUGUGAUUCAACAAUUCUUUGGAGGUUAGUUUCGUCUUUUUGUGUGUCCUGCAGGAAGAAAAAUCUAUAUCUCUUCUUUGGUUUCACGAUUGGCUUAUUUUAUAUAUAUAGCCAAGCACCCAAGUCUUUUUUAUUUUCUGUGGUUACUAUCCUAUCUCAUUUUCUCUUUCAAUUUUUACUUUACUACUAAACUUGGGAUAUUAUUAUUGAAUCAUUUAGUUAGAUUUGUUCAACCCCUUUUAAUAUUUUUACUCUAAUAGAAAUUGGUGUAGCAAUACUUUACACUUUAACCCUUUAUUCGAGUUAUCUUUGUUUGGAUAAUUAUCAGUUAUAUAUAUACAUAUAUAUAAUUGUUUAUUUCAUUGAUCAAAUCUUGUUUUAUUAUUAUUUUAUUUAUUUAUUAUGCGUUCUAUCUACAGUCCCUAUGCUUCCUUUCUUUUGUUUGUAUAUUAGUUUUGUUCCACCUUUUAUUAGUUUUAAAAUUUGUUCAUUUCAAAAUUGUUAGUGGUGAAUUUUGGUUAGUAUUAGACAAUUUUGAGGUGGUAAAUUUUUAAUUUUUGUUGUUAAACCAGUUUUAAGGCGCAUGGUCCAAAAACUCAGUUUUUUUUACGUGGCGACAAACUCAUGGUUGGAGUUUCAAGAUAUUAUUUUUGUGGGGUUAAUGAGGAGAUUGAACAACAAAACACUCAAUGACGUGGCGAGAUCUCAGCCGGGUAAGAAGGAGAGCGAGAUUCUAGUUCGUCCUACGUGGACGAAUCAGGUUCUGGAAGAGCGUCUGAGCCACGUGAGCCCACCUGGGAUUUGUCUGGACCAUAUUACAAAAUGUCUUUUUAAAUCCUCUCUCCCACACCACACCAGACCCUAGUAUCUUCAAUUGUCUAAACCCACUUGGUUUUUGUUUUCUUACUUCUCCCAUACUUCUUCUUCUCUACUUCUCUUCACAAAGUCAUCUGUUUCUUUUUUUAAUUUUCACCCCUACAAUUUUUGUAGACAGGAUAAGAUAUAAUAUAAAACAAAAAAAAUUGGAUUUUUUAAAUACACAAAUAAUGCAUUGGAAUGGCCGUAUGGGAGAGAAACUUUCUAAUAUAGUACAUAUGGACUACAUACAUACAUAGGCAAGAGUAUUAUUAUUUUUUAUUUACUUGGACCAUAAUUGUUUAUUGUCUUUUUUUUUUUGAAAUAAUAUAUUGGCUAUUCAAUCGUUUAGUACUACGGUUGAUUAUUAUUUUUUGUGGCUCUCAGUGAACCCAUAUUGUAUUGAAGGGAAAAUCAUAUGCUCCAUUAAAUCAUGACCACAUAAAAGAUUGUGCUUAUGUGGCAUGCUUCAAUAUGGGGUAAUCUUACGUGGCGAACAUCGGUGAUCUCAAAGAAUCAAUAUGAAGAUGACAUGUCAUCAUGAGAGCCACGCAAACGCGCUCAAUGUUUUUUUUUUUUUGUUGUUGUUGUGGGCGAGUGGUGUGUGGUGUGGUUAUGGCUCUCAUUCAUUAUUGUAGCAUUUUUAUUUUGUGUUUCUUUUUACUUUGUGUGGAUAAGAAUUUUGGAAUAAGUCAGAACUUUCAAGAAAGAGGUUCAAUAUUCAUUGUUCAUAUUCACAAUACUAUUAGCUGGUUGAAUACAUCCCUUCUUUCUAGUCCUUAUCUUCUAAAAGCUAUGUGCCGUGUCUCAUGUAUGUAUGUAUGUAUGUAUAGGGUUAGAGGAUAUGCAGAGAUCGUUUUCUUAAUAAAUAUAUAUAUAUAUAUAUAUAUAUAUAUGUUUUACAAACCAUUCAGAAAUGAUGAAAUCAAACGCCACAAAAAAAAAUUUGUUUUUUCGUUUAUCAUUCAUUAGAUUUACUUUACGUUACGACCACAAAUAUAUAUCACAGUUAGUAAUAUUAUAAAAAUAAAUGCCUCCUACAUACUUUGUAUUCUCAAUCAAUUAGAAGAAACACCGUACGUUACAAACCUUUAAGAUGACACGACUGUUGAGAAAAAGACUAACUAUUAGCUAAGAGACAGAGAUUGCCGAAAGCUGAGAAGGCCUUAUAGGGGGAUGAUGAAUAUAACAUAACAUGGGCCUCGCCUUUUGUCCACGUUUCUUUUCCUUUCUUUGCCUCCUUCACGUUUUUUGGUAUCUCUUACAGUCUCCUCCACGUUCAAGUGUUACCAUAAGAGAGAGUUCUCUCACUUGAGAGUUUGAGACACCCAUGAUCUUAUUAUUAUCUUUAUACGUUUUCAUGUGCCAAAUUUUAGGCUUUCAUUUUCAAAUCGUACAUACCAGUUUGGGUCAUCCGGUCACUACCCUAAAAUGUAUGGUCCGUAUUAUUAGAUUAGAAAAACUUCUUACUUGCCAUGAGCAUGUCCACUCCAAAAUUAGUCCCAAGUUUCAAUAUAUUGGAAAACUCUGGAUCAUGGCUUCAACUAUAUAUGUAUGCCUAAGAAAAGCUUAGACUUCCUUACCUUUAGUAUCUACUUUAUAUACUCAAAUCUUAUUAUUUUGGGGUAGUUUAGGAGGUAAUGAAGAUAAUGACUAAUUGAUCAUUUGCUUAACCUUUUUUGUAAUUAUAACUGUAAAUAAAGAUGAAAACAGAAGUAAAAAGGUUACAGAUUCUAGAAUAUACAAAAACCAGUUGACAAGGUUUAUCUAGGCUCUAUUACACUCAUGGUUUGUAAGUUAUUGGAAGGAAUCUCGAGAUUAAUCGAUACAGUGUCCGAAAACAAGAGAUUUCUUUCAUUAAAAAACCCUGGCUGCUUCGGAUCAAGAAGCAACAUUUCACUGCUCAGCAUCAGAACCACCACUGACAUGUUUGGUCUAUCUUUAGGAUCUUGUUGUACACAUAGCAGACCAAUGUGUAUCACUCUUAAAACUUCAGAUAUAUCGGUACAUGACUCUUUGAAAGCUUCAUCGAUUAGUUCGCAUGCUUUAUCUUCUGUGUAUUGCCUCCAAGCCUGAAGAAUUAAUUAGCAUUUUGUAAUUAACCUAAGUUUACAAAAUUUAUAAGUUAAUCUACGUUGUUUGCUGCUAAUGUACUUACGUGUCCAAUAAGGUUAAGCUUGUCUUCUUGAUUACAGAAUCCGCGGUUUCUUCUUCCUGAUACGAUCUCUAAUACCAAUACCCCGAAGCUAAAUACAUCGGAUUUUAAUGAGAAAUAGCCGUCGAUUUGAUAUUCUGGAGACAUAUAUCCACUGCACAACAAUAGAAAACAAAUCCUUUAAAAUUCUGUUUUUUUUUUGUUUGCUAUAAUGCUUUGCAUUGAAAUCAAGAAAGAUAGGUGAUCUUACUAUGUUCCAACCACUUUGGUCGUGUUUGCUUCAGUUUCAUCUCCUCCCAAGGUUCUAGCCAAUCCAAAAUCAGAGAUUUUUGCGUUCAUAUCAGAAUCAAGCAAAACAUUGCUUGCUUUGAGAUCACGGUGGAUGAUUCGAAGCCUUGAAUCUUGAUGGAGAUACAUCAGUCCCCGAGCAAUCCCUUUGAUUAUUUCCAGCCGUUUAGGCCAAUCAAGUUCUCUGCGACGCUCUUUAUCGAAAAUGAAAGAGUCCACACUUCUGUUUGGUUGAUACUCGUAGAUAAGCAUUCUUUCAUCCUCCUCCACACAAUAUCCGAGAAUCUUUACUAGAUUUCUGUGUUGAAGCUUUGCAAUCAAUGUGAUCUCGUUCUUGAAUUCUUCUUUCCCUUGUCUCGACGUUCUUGAUAGCCUCUUUACAGCUAUUUCUUGUCCACAAGCCAAUGUUCCCUGGUGAGAAAAAUCAAAACAUGUUACUCUUUUUGCGUAUAAUCUGAGUAUCAGACAAGAAAACUGUGGUUUGUUAAUUACCUUAUAGACUGGUCCAAAACCACCUUGUCCAAGUUUAUUUCCUUCAGAGAAUCUAUCUGUAGCUUCUGAUAUCGCAUCAAGAUCAAGAAACGGCAAUUCAAGAUCUUCAUCCUCUUGUUUUCUGCUGGAAACACGGACUGAUUCGCGUUGCACCAUUUCUGAAUAAAUCAAAGGGUUUAAUAACCGUACAAAAACUUUUUUUAAAAAGUUCUGAGUGUUAACAAACUACAAUCAUUUACCUUUUGUUGCAAGUUUCUUAUUCUUCACGUUGAAGAGAGUCAAGCCAAUGCAAAUGCAAAAAAGAAACAGUGCUGUCGAUAAUAAUAUGAUGAGCAUCAUCCCUAACUUCCCAUUCACGUCAUGGAUAUUAUACUUGUCUGUGAUCGAACCAGAACAGAACAAGAAAAUACUAUCAAGAUUUAAAUCAUUAUUAGUAAAAAGAAUGUUUUUUGUUUCACUAGUCUUAACCUUAAUUACCUAUUUCAGAAGAAGCAAGUCUCACAUACAGAUCUUGUCCGUUUUCAUUAUACUCUCUUAUAUCAAUCAAAUCUCCGAACCAGAGAAUACAUCCUUUUCCUCCAUCUCUAAUAUCAAAAUGCGAAUAAGCCGAGCAAGAACAGUUUCUCAAGCAUACCCUUUUGCAUUCGUUCAAAUCCAUGCUCUUAUCAUACCAAGAUGUUCUUGUAUCUGGUAACUUCAACUUUGAAAUCUUUAGAAAGUCUCCUUCUCCUUUACCCCAGCUCAUUUUCACUCUCCUAACACACCCUUGGGACCAAUCCCCUGCAACCCAAGCCUCUGGAGAUUUAGGAACAAACCCUUUCAAACACCUACAAGCCGGAGAUUCAUUGAUGUUGCAGCUUCCGUAAGAGCCACACAACGUGUAGAGAUCACAACUAUCCAUCAUAGCCGAUAAAUAGAAGUUCCAACUCUGAAGGCUAUCGACCCAAGUGUAACGUUGCAAAGCUCCAUUGGGAUUUAGCUGCAUUCUUGUGAUCACCGAUGGGUUUUCAAGCUUGUAAGUAUAGUAAGCUUCUUCCUCCGUGAACACGAACUCGUACCGGUAGAUAGGGUUAGGUUUUAGGUGAGGCAUACCUGUGAACCUUAGACCGUUCCAUGGACCAGCCCUGAAGAUAUCAACCGAGUUUUUCUUCAGGAAAAACUGCGGGACGCCGUUUGGAUCCAUUUUAUUCGUGAAGUUACCAGUGGAUGGAUCGUCUGGAGAUCUCCAAGAAGUCAAGAACCGGUUUAUACCGGUUACAAAGUUGAUACCAUAUUUCAUUCCUGGAAGAAACAUAUCUCCUGGGUAAUCUAAACUCUGCCAUAAGUAAUCUUGAUCAUCCCCUGAGUUUCUUACAACUAAAUUACCUGUAUCAAGAAUCUGAACAAUCGGGCUUUCUAUUUUAAAUUUCUGGGACGAUGAUGAUGAUGACCAGAGGAGGUAGUUUCUGCCAUUGAAGAGACAUAAGCUCCCGUUUCCAGAGAGUUUUAAGGUUCCUGAGAGAUCGUAGAGAGGAGAAUCUCUGUUUGCGACCCAAACAACGGUCUGGAGAGAGAUCUGCUUGUACCAAAUACCGAGAUAACGGUUUCUCGACCCUCCCGGAGAGAAAAAACCAAGCUCGAAGCUCCCACCUUUUGAAACAAUGGUGUCUCCGUCUUUUAGAGUCUGGUUUCCUGUGAUGAUAUCAGUUCCUUGUGUGGCAAGAAACGUCAAAAACAGAGAGAUAAGGAGCGGAGGAAGCACAUUACUGGCUCCCAUAGCUGGUUGAGAAAGAGAGAGUUGGAAUGGAAACGAUAAUGAUAAUAUGUUGUUAUUGGAAUUGGGGAGUUAAGGUACUACGUUGGUAUAUAGUUUUAUUAUUUGUUAAUGAGAGAGACAUGGAAGAGAAUUGCAAUGAGUAGCUGUGCAUAUCUCUUUGCGUCGUGAUAUUAUUUGCUCUUAAUGUCAACCACAACGUGCCUAAGAGAUUAUUUGUAGUUUAACCAUAUAUUUUAUACGACCAAAUGAUGGAAUUAUUCAAUGGAGAUGCAAAAUUUACUUCACAAUUGGAACUAAAUAAUGCAGUUUAAGGAAGAUAGAAAUAAAACAUUAAACAAAAUCUAGUGGGGUGCUCAGAAACCAUUGUAUAUAUAUUCAAAGUCUCAAACAAAACAAAUCCUGAGCUUAACUUCACAGUUGACAGUAUUACAUAUGGAGCAAAGAUAUUGCGAUGGGCUUUCUCGAUCGGACCCGGUUAAAGCCCGCCACGAUCAGUGUUGGUGGUGAUUAAGUGCUAAAAAAUGAAGCUUCAUUUUAAUCUAAGAAAAUAAUAAACAAGCCGCAUGGAUUAAGAAGAAGAAAUCGAGAAGGGCAGCAAAAUUCAAAUAUGAGAUUAAGAAGAGCAUAAUUAAUGGUUUGUCACACCAUUAAAGAAGACAAAGCCAACCAAGGCAGGCAAGAGUAAGAAUCUAAGAUAUAUCAUUAGUCAGAGACAUCAAAUCAGGAUUCAAUGUUCCUUCUUUAAAACUUGACUCAUAUUUUAAUGUAGAAAAGCAUUAUUGCACAUUCGGUUUCGGUUAAAAUUAUGAUUAGUAUAAUUAUGAAAUUAAUAAUGACAAUUAGUAGUAAUCCGUUAAGCAAGAUUUGGUUGGAUUUAUGUAAAGAUUAAAAAUAGAUAUAAAGAACGGGGACAUACCAAGCAGAAUAUUCUUCCCUGCUGCGGUUUAGUUUGUCCAUGACUAAGGGACACCAAAAAAAAAAAAAAAAAAAAAUCGUAUAAUCAAAUAUCAUGCAUUGAAUAGAAAGAAACGUCGCAUAAAAGAAAGUAAAAAAGUUUGACAAUAAAUGUUACAGUCAAGACAUAUAUUUUUCUUAUGUUUGGACUCUGGCGUUGCAACUUGCAAGAUUCAUCAUAAAGAUAGACAUAACAAACUAGUAUCAGAUUCACGAGUCGAUUACGAAAUUUGACUAUCCGAACGAAUAAACUCGUAAGGCCGCUUUAUGUAUAUAAAGACUUAACUCGAAAGUCUACAACAAUUGAAUGGUAUCAUCAUGAUAGAAUAAUAAAGUUGAAUUCAUUUCACAGCAAUGAUGUGUGAAUAAAUAAUAUCGAACCGACCUCAUUUUCUGGAAGGAAGAAAAAAAAAAAAAAACAACAUUUGUGUCACUUGGCUGAGGAAAAAGUGAUGGAAACUUCCACAAACCAAAUAUAAACAACCAAACAACUCCUCCACUCCAUUACUUUUAAAUAAAUCAUCUGACGAUUUUACCCUCCACUCUCGCCGCUUUCACACUACGCAAUUGUCUAUGUACAUUAACGAAUUGACGAUAUUACCCCCUAAAGCGAGCUUCCUCGAAGAAACUCCAAACACAAAAAUUGGCAAUAUCCGAGACACGGUGACCUUUCCUUCCUUGCCUUAAUUAAUUAUAUCUUAGCUGGCUUCCAUGGAUGUUCCUUCUCAGAAAUCCCAUUCUCUCCCUCCUUUCUAACUAUUUAUAUAUAUUCUCAAUUCUCAUCUUCAAACCAAACAACAACAACAUAAACAACAAAGAAGCUCAAAUUUCAGACUUUUAAAAACACUAGAAUCAUCAUCCAAGCUCUAAUGGCGUCACCAAAGUCACCUACACGACCAACCCAACAACACCCACAACCCACUUUCCACGAUUUCCUCCCCGCUAUGGCCGGAAACCUUGGCGGCGAAGGUCUUAUCGGAGAGCUCUGCAACGGUUUCGAGCUACUGAUGGACAGGGAGAAAGGUGUCAUCACCUUCGACAGUCUCCGCCGCAACGCCGCCGCGGUUCUCGGUCUCGGAGAUUUGACUGACGAUGACGUCAGCUGUAUGAUUAAAGAAGGGGACUUUGACUGCGACGGCGCGUUGAAUCAGAUGGAGUUUUGCGUUUUGAUGUUUAGGCUCAGCCCUGAUCUGAUGGAGGCGUCGCGCUGUCUCGUCACGGAAGCGAUUGAGGAGGAGUUCGGUGAUUUCUCUCGCCGCCGGCAUUGAACACCGGAGAGAGAUUGAUUUGGGAUCAUCAUCUUCCCCCUCUCUGAUGAUUUAAUUCGAUUCAUUUGUUACUUAUUUCUCUUUUUUUCAAUUAAUUGUUACAAUUUACAUAAUUCUUCGAAUCAUACGAUACUACUUUUAUACGGCUUACAGCUUACUUUACUUUAUAUAUUAAAACAUCGAUGUUGAUCGAUCACAUGUUUGAACAUAUCCCUAUCUCUAACUAAAAUAUAGAACACUCUCCGUAACAUCGUUUGUCAAGAAUUAAGCACACUGAUCAAAAUUUAUUUUACCAAUGUCAAAAUCACACUAUCAUCAUCUUUUAUUCAUUAAUCAAUCAUCGGUGUCAACAAUGUCGUGAUUCUAAUGCUUUGCUUAAUCAUUCCAUGACUAAAAGGAUACACAGUAUAUAGAAUCCAGACUAGAUACUAGAUAUCAUAAUUAAGUUGGGUUUUGGUGAAUAGAUGUAAAAUUACGGGGUAGAAGUGUAAUUUUGAUCAGUUUACGGGGACGUUGACUAAAAAAACUCUCCAAAUAGACUCUAAAGUCUAAACAAUACUGAGCUAGAUUUCUGGGAAAUUUAGAAAAAGCUUUCAGAAGAAGGAGCAGAGCAUUCAAUGGCGGCGACCAAAGUUUACAUCGUGUAUGUCAAAUAAUGAUAUUUCUCUAUUAAGAUUCUUUUUUUCUUCUUCCUGGUGUUAGUUUUGUAUUAGAACACGCGUGUAAAUGCGCGAUCAUCAUCGAUCGGUCGAAGAGUCGAUUGAAGAUUCUAUGUGUUUUAACUAGAUUUGUUCUCAUUAGGUGAUGCUAAGUUGCUUGCAUUUGAUAUUGUGCUGGGUUUGGGUUUUGAGAUUCUUGUAUUGGGGAAUGAUUAGAGAGGGAAUUCACAUUUUUUAAUGAUGGAUUUGAUGUGGAGAUGCAGUGUGUUGUGACAAUUCAAAAUUUGGUGAGUGUAACAGGUACUACUCUAUGUACGGCCAUGUAGAGAAGUUAGCACAGGAGAUUAGGAAAGGUGCUGCUUCUGUUGAUGGAGUUGACGCCAGACUGUGGCAGGUCGGUAGCUUUUUUCUUUUGUGGCUCUUCAUUGCCAAUCUCAUGAGCACAUCUGAUUCUUGGUUUACAACUGACUCUAACUCUUGUAGAAUGUGACAAUAAAGGUUAAAGAUUAGAGAUUGGAUCUGAAAGAAAGAAAGGAGAAAAUACAAAUUCGGACUUUUUGGUUUACGGAAAUUGUUAAUUUGAGUGAAUCAACACUAUUGACUGGAUGAUGACCACUUACUUCCUGUUUUCCGAAUCAUUGAGCUACAUUUGUUUUGGCAUGCUUUGUUGUCUAUUUGGCAUAUCUUAGUGUGUUCUCUCUUCACUGAGUUUCAGUUUGCCACGACGAAAGUAUGCUUGACUCUCAGUUUUCUGAAAGAAACAAGAAGAUGCUCUAAAUUUUGUUUUCCUUAUGCAUUUGUAGCUGCCAACAUUCUUGAUAGUGUUUGCUUUAUCACGCUUCUUUAUCUCUGACUAGUAAGUACUAGCUAUUUCCUAAGCUAUCAGAACCAAAACAAAGCUAUGUUUUCAUCCCAGCCGCAUGUUUUACCAUAAGCUCUGCUUUUUAUGUCUACAUUGUGCUUUCCCUUAGUUGGUUUACCCGAAGUAGUAAGUUCCUUGAUUCUGCAUCUAUUAUCUGCUCUUUAGUGUUGCUAGUCAUAAGUUAUUUUGGAAUAUAAAUGUUUAAAAGUACACUGAAGAUUUGAGCUAGCGUUUGUUCUUGACAGGUACCUGAAACGCUCCAAGAAGAUGUGCUAUCUAAAAUGAGUGCACCGCCAAAGAGUGAUGCUCCUAUUAUCACCCCAAACGACCUUGCUGAGGCUUAUGGAUUUGUCUUCGGCUUCCCAACAAGGUUUGGUAUGAUGGCUGCUCAGUUCAAGGCAUUCUUGGACGCAACCGGUGGCCUCUGGAGGACUCAGCAGCUCGCCGGCAAGCCAGCCGGAAUCUUCUACAGCACAGGAUCCCAAGGUGGUGGUCAAGAAACCACUGCGUAAGUUCCCUUUUGCAAUCCAAACAACACCUCAACAAAGAGACCAAUUGCUAUAUUGUUGAUAGAACUGGUUUCUGUGUUAGAUUAACUGCUAUUACUCAGCUGGUUCAUCAUGGAAUGAUAUUUGUCCCGAUCGGCUACACAUUUGGUGCUGGUAUGUUUGAGAUGGAGAACGUUAAAGGUGGGAGCCCAUACGGGGCAGGAACAUUCGCUGGAGACGGGUCGAGACAGCCAACGGAAUUGGAGCUGGAGCAAGCAUUUCAUCAAGGGAAAUACAUCGCAUCCAUAACUAAGAAGCUCAAGGGAACUGCUGCUGCUUAGAGCUCUCUCAAAAAAGAUAAUGCUUUGAUUCUUUGUUGGUAAAUUUCUAUAACUUGGCAUUUCAAAAAAAAAAAAAAAAUUGUUUUGGAAUUAGCUCACAGCAAUAACACACCAUUGCCUUUAUUUGUAACUUGUCCCACUUAAGAGUUAAGACUUGUUUAAAAGCGAAACUCACGUGAACCAGAUAGCAAACAAAACUCGGUACAUGGUAUAGUGAAAACAUCGUUGCCCACUAAAGGCCCAUCACUUCAAACCAGUCCAAUAAAAAUUCACAUCAGAGAUCCAACUCAUAUUCAUAUCACCUGAAGAAAGUACUUAUCAAAACUAACUACUAUACGUAUACUAUUUGUUUCAAAGUUUUACUCUUAUGAGAAUAUUCAAUGUACGUUUUGAAUCUUUAAAUUAUAUGAUUUAGUUUAAAGCUUUUAAUAUCGUGAAUUUUAAUAUAGUAUCUUUGAAUCCAGACCAAUGAUCAUCUUUCACCGAAGAAGUUAAGAAGUUAAAAUAAAGUAAUAUUUGUUUUCUGUAUUCACCUAAAUGGGAAAUGUCAUAAAGAUGGUAUCCAAUGUUCUUGUUUAGUGAAUCCGUAACCCAAGAAUAAUAUUCUAGAUUGUGUAAAGCAAGUCACUAAUCUCAAAUUUAGCCGGAAGCUUUAUUAAUUGGUCGGAUGGUCUUCUUACCUUAGUCGAGAGCUCCUUGGCACUAAGGAGUAAGGAGUUUAAUUUGAUUCCAUCUCCUCAGAUACGGUGUGAGAAUUCAACAUAGAGCAAUAGCAAAUAAAUGACUCGAAGAAACGUAUAUCGUUACGUACGGUUUAAAACAUCAUGCCUUUAAUCUACCCAGAAGGAUAGCUAAACCACUUAAACGCAUAUAUUGAGUUGUCAAUAAAACAACAGUUGCUGUUUAGUUAAUAAAACAUCAUGCCUUUAGUUACUGCAUUCUUACUAGGCAAAAAGAUCAGUUGGUUAAUUGGUCAUACAUAUAAUAUGAUGAGGAGAAAUGGAGGGGACCAAAAAUGGUUUUUAUAACUUAAACUAGUCGACCAUGAGGGAUCAAAUUGGUUUAUUCGUUUUGAAGUGCGACUUAUCUAGAUGAUAUAUAUAUAAUUUGGUCAUCGAUCACUGAUUCACUGAAGUAAUUUAAGGAAGUGAAAACUAAAGUAUUAUUAGUUUUAUGCAUUCACCUAAAUCGCAAUGUCAUAAAGAAGGCAUCCAAUGUUCUUGUUUAAUUAAUCCCUUACCCUAACAGACUAUUAUUCUAUAUUGUGUGAAGCAAGUCAUGCUUAAUCUCGCAUUAGCUGGAAGCGUUGUUGGCACUGAGUUUGAUCCAUAUUCUUAGCUUGCUUAUACGUUGGUUGCUUCACUUUAGGUUAUUGGUUCGACCGUACGUAGAGACAAGAUAACAUAUUUACACAACAUAAAUUAUACAUCAAAUUCAGAAGAUAAAAUUUAGUAGUGUUAAAAAAAAAAUUAAAAAUAAUAUAUAUAUAUAUAUAUAUUAUCUAAUGGUUUUUAUUGUUGUUGUCGUUGUGUUACCACUUACCACUCGAAUGCAAUCCCAUAAUCCCAUAUGUUGCAUAUAGUUAACACACAAAAGAAAAA
RNAcentral lists this long non-coding RNA (22312 nucleotides) under Capsella rubella. Its description in RNAcentral is "long non-coding RNA (CRUB_LNC001380)". The record is from RNAcentral. Lineage: Eukaryota; Viridiplantae; Streptophyta; Magnoliopsida; Brassicales; Brassicaceae.